UCCCGGAUAGCUCAGUUGGUAGAGCAAGCGGCUGUUAACCGCUUUGUCGCAGGUUCGAGUCCUGCUCCGGGAGCCA
RNAcentral lists this transfer RNA (76 nucleotides) under Acidiphilium rubrum. RNAcentral describes it as "tRNA-Asn". It matches the Rfam family "tRNA". From Rfam's summary of the family: Transfer RNA (tRNA) molecules are approximately 80 nucleotides in length. Their secondary structure includes four short double-helical elements and three loops (D, anti-codon, and T loops). RNAcentral also lists the same sequence under 6 other names. The record is from RNAcentral. Lineage: Bacteria; Pseudomonadati; Pseudomonadota; Alphaproteobacteria; Acetobacterales; Acidocellaceae.